UAAGGGCUAGUUUUGUGGGCAAAAGCGUAAAGGGUGUGAUAGGCCGUUUUAAUUAAAAAGGGUUUUAUAAUUUAAGAAGGUAAAUGGAAUUUUUUUGUAGCGGUGGAAUGUGUAAAUAGAAAAAAGAACUUUAGACGUGAAGACUAUUUAUUUUUGAGAUUAUAGUGUGAUGGCUAAAACACGAGAGUAUGGGGAGCAAACAGGAUUAGGGACCCUGGUAGUCUAUACUGUAAAUAAUGAAAAAGAUGUGAAGCAAUCCUAAAAAGUCAGAAAUUUUCCGCUUGAGUAGUACGACCGCAAGGUUAAAAUUCAAAAAACUUGGCUGUUCACUGUUUUAAUUAGAGGAGCGUGUCGUUUAAUUCGAUAGUCCGCGAGAGACCUUACCCAAACUUGAAUCCUUCAUUGACAGGUAU
RNAcentral lists this ribosomal RNA (413 nucleotides) under Acropora sp. RNAcentral describes it as "partial small subunit ribosomal RNA". It matches the Rfam family "Bacterial small subunit ribosomal RNA", at positions 529 to 1003 of the family's 1533-position model. The record is from RNAcentral. Lineage: Eukaryota; Metazoa; Cnidaria; Anthozoa; Scleractinia; Acroporidae.